UACGGAGGGAGCUAGCGUUGUUCGGAAUUACUGGGCGUAAAGCGCACGUAGGCGGCUUUGUAAGUUAGAGGUGAAAGCCCGGAGCUCAACUCCGGAACUGCCUUUAAGACUGCAUCGCUUGAAUCCAGGAGAGGUGAGUGGAAUUCCGAGUGUAGAGGUGAAAUUCGUAGAUAUUCGGAAGAACACCAGUGGCGAAGGCGGCUCACUGGACUGGUAUUGACGCUGAGGUGCGAAGGCGUGGGGAGCAAACAGG
This 253-nucleotide ribosomal RNA is filed under the name uncultured bacterium. Its description in RNAcentral is "partial 16S ribosomal RNA". It matches the Rfam family "Bacterial small subunit ribosomal RNA", at positions 524 to 776 of the family's 1533-position model. The record is from RNAcentral.